AUGUUUGUUCCGCUGGGAGGAUUUCCUGCACUCAUGCGGUCCCCCGUCUCCAGUCCAGCCGCGCGCUGUUCAGUCUCCAGCCCAGCCGCGCGCUGUUCAGUCUCCGGCCCAGCCGCGCGCUGUUCAGUCUCCGGCCCAGCCGCGCGCUGUUCAGUCUCCGGCCCAGCCGCGCGCUGUUCAGUCUCCGGUCCAGCCGCGCGCUGUUCAGUCUCCGGUCCAGCCGCGAGCUGUUCAGUCUCCGGUCCAGCCGCGAGCUGUUCAGUCUCCGGUCAAGACGCGAGCUGUUCAGUCUCCAGCUCAGUCGUGUUUUGCCCAGUCUCCAGCUCAGUCGUGUUUUGCCCAGUCUCCAGCUCAGUCGUGUUUUGCCCAGUCCCCAGUUCAGCUGUGUUUUGCCCAGUCUCCAGCUCAGUCGUGUUUUGCCCAGUCUCCAGCUCAGUCGUGUUUUGCCCAGUCUCCAGCUCAGUCGUGUUUUGCCCAGUCUCCAGCUCAGUCGUGUUUUGCCCAGUCUCCAGCUCAGUCGUGUUUUGCCCAGUCUCCAGCUCAGCCGUGUUUUGCCCAGUCUCCAGCUCAGUCGUGUUUUGCCCAGUCCCCAGUUCAGCCGUGUUUUGCCCAGUCCCCAGUUCAGCCGUGUUUUGCCCAGUCCCCAGUUCAGCCGUGUUUUGCCCAGUCUCCAGUUCAGCCGUGUUUUGCCCAGUCCCCAGUUCAGCCAUGCUCCGCUCAGGCUCUAGUGCAGCCCUGUCACGCUCAGGUUCCAGCCCCAGCCCAGUCCAGAUCCCAGUCCAGAUCCCAGUCCAGAUCCCAGUCCAGUCGAGCCCAGCCCAGGUUUCAGCCCAGUCGAGCCCAGCCCAGGUUUCAGCCCAGUCGAGUCUAGUCCAGGUUUUAGCCCCGCCGAGUCACGUCCCAGUCCAGUCCGGUCACGUCCAGGCCCCAGUUGAGUCGAGUCACGUCCCAGUCCAGUCCGGUCACGCUCAGGCCUUGUUCCAGCCAGAGGGCACCGUCCGUCUGUCGAGUGUUAGCCCCACCCAAUCAGGCCCGACGUCUACUCUGUCGAGCUCGGUAGCUGUAAGCAGUCAUGUCGGCUCCGGAGGGGACGCCGUUCCAGUCCCUGUCGGCCAUGUUGCGGCCGUUCCAGUCCCUGUCGGCCAUGUUGCGGCCGUUCCAGUCCCUGUCGGCCAUGUUGCGGCCGUUCCAGUCCCUGUCGGCCAUGUUGCGGCCGUUCCAGUCCCUGUCGGCCAUGUUGCGGCCGUUCCAGUCCCUGUUCCUGUUCCUGUCGGCCAUGUUGAGGCGGUUCCUGUUCCUGUCGGCCAUGUUGAGGCCGUUCCUGUUCCUGUCGGCCAUGUUGAGGUCGUUCCUGUUCCUGUCGGCCAUGUUGAGGCCGUCCCUGUCCCUGUCGGCCAAGUUGAGGUCGUUCCUGCCCCUGGUCCUGUCCCCGUCGGCCAUGUUGAGGUCGUUCCCGCUCCCGUUCCUGUCGGCCAAGUAGAGGUCAUUCCAGUUCCCGUUCCUGUCGGCCAAGUAGAGGUCGUUCCAGUUCCCGUUCCUGUCGGCCCUGUAGCGGUCGUUCCCGUUCCUGUCGGCCCGAGAGAGGUCGUUCCCGUUCCUGGCGGCCCGAGAGAGGUCGUUCCCGUUCCUGGCGGCUCGAGAGAGGUCGUUCCCGUUCCUGGCGGCCCGAGAGAGGUC
Long non-coding RNA from Betta splendens (Siamese fighting fish), 1677 nucleotides. The record is from Ensembl. NCBI's taxonomy places the organism in Eukaryota, Metazoa, Chordata, Actinopteri, Anabantiformes, Osphronemidae.